GGUGGCGCUGGCCUGGGGCGCGGUGGCGGACCGGCUCGGCGCGCCGGGGCGGGCGCUCGCGCUCGCCGCCGGCGGGUCGCUGGCGGCGGCCGCCU
RNAcentral lists this transfer RNA (95 nucleotides) under Anaeromyxobacter diazotrophicus. RNAcentral's name for it is "tRNA-Ala". Lineage: Bacteria; Pseudomonadati; Myxococcota; Myxococcia; Myxococcales; Anaeromyxobacteraceae. The record is from RNAcentral.